UACGUAGGAGGCGAGCGUUGUCCGGAAUCACUGGGCUUAAAGCGCGUGUAGGCGGAUCGUUAAGUGUCUUGUGAAAUCCCACGGCUCAACCGUGGAACUGCUGGGCAUACUGGCGAUCUUGGGCCACUCAGGGGCGACCGGAACAAGCGGUGGAGCGGUGAAAUGCGUAGAUAUCGCUUGGAACGCCAAAGGUGAAGACAGGUCGCUGGGGGUGUGCCGACGCUGAGACGCGAAAGCCAGGGGAGCAAACGGG
RNAcentral lists this ribosomal RNA (253 nucleotides) under uncultured bacterium. RNAcentral describes it as "partial 16S ribosomal RNA". It matches the Rfam family "Bacterial small subunit ribosomal RNA", at positions 524 to 776 of the family's 1533-position model. The record is from RNAcentral.